ACGAACGCUGGCGGCGUGCUUAACACAUGCAAGUCGAGCGGGGAUGCGAGCUGGAGCGCUUCGGCGUGAAGGCUAGUGUCCUAGCGGCGGACGGGUGAGUAACGCGUGGGCAACCUGCCCUCAAGACCGGGAUACCAACUCGAAAGGGUUGUUAAUACCGGAUGUGAUGGAUGGCUCGCAUGAGCUGUUCAUCAAAGGAGCGAUCCGCUUGAGGAGGGGCCUGCGUUCCAUUAGCUAGUUGGUGAGGUAGCGGCUCACCAAGGCGACGAUGGAUAGCCGGCCUGAGAGGGUGGCCGGCCACACUGGGACUGAGAUACGGCCCAGACUCCUACGGGGGGCAGCAGUGGGGAAUCUUGCACAAUGGGCGAAAGCCUGAUGCAGCAACGCCGCGUGAGGGAAGAAGGUCUUCGGAUCGUAAACCUCUGUCCAGAGGGAAGAAGGAAGUGACGGUACCUUUGGAGGAAGCCCCGGCUAACUACGUGCCAGCAGCCGCGGUAAUACGUAGGGGGCGAGCGUUGUCCGGAAUUAUUGGGCGUAAAGGGCGCGUAGGCGGUGACACAAGUCAGGUGAUAAAGGCACGGGCUCAACCGGUGUUAGGCACUUGAAACUGUGUUGCUAGAGUGCAGGAGAGGGGAGUGGAAUUCCAGGUGUAGCGGUGAAAUGCGUAGAUAUCUGGAAGAACACCAGUGGCGAAAGCGGCUCUCUGGACUGUAACUGACGCUUAGGCGCGAAAGCUGGGGGAGCAAACAGG
Molecule: ribosomal RNA, 751 nt
Filed under: uncultured bacterium
Lineage: Bacteria
Description: bacterial SSU rRNA
Rfam family: Bacterial small subunit ribosomal RNA
Source: RNAcentral